GAUGAACGCUGGCGGCGUGCCUAAUACAUGCAAGUCGAGCGAACAGACGAGGAGCUUGCUCCUCUGACGUUAGCGGCGGACGGGUGAGUAACACGUGGAUAACCUACCUAUAAGACUGGGAUAACUUCGGGAAACCGGAGCUAAUACCGGAUAAUAUAUUGAACCGCAUGGUUCAAUAGUGAAAGACGGUUUUGCUGUCUCUUAUAGAUGGAUCCGCGCCGCAUUAGCUAGUUGGUAAGGUAACGGCUUACCAAGGCAACGAUGCGUAGCCGACCUGAUAGGGUGAUCGGCCACACUGGAACUGAGACACGGUCCAGACUCCUACGGGAGGCAGCAGUAGGGAAUCUGCCGCAAAGGGCGAAAGCCUGACGGAGCAACGCCGCGUGAGUGAUGAAGGUCUUCGGAGCGUAAAACUCUGUUAUUAGGUAAGAACAAAUGUGUAAGUAACUAUGCACGUCUUGACGGUACCUAAUCAGAAAGCCACGGCUAACUACGUG
RNAcentral lists this ribosomal RNA (497 nucleotides) under uncultured bacterium. RNAcentral describes it as "partial 16S ribosomal RNA". It matches the Rfam family "Bacterial small subunit ribosomal RNA", at positions 28 to 507 of the family's 1533-position model. The record is from RNAcentral.